CAGAGAGUUCAUGGACAAAUUGCAACGCCAAGAUGAGUGUGUGAUGUCCUUGCUUCAGCCCUUCCUGGACCAGUGUGACCCAAUGUGACCUGCAAAUUCCUUAUUUUUUUUUUUAUAUUACAAUGGUUUGCCCCUUUUUCCUCCCAGUCCUGCAGAGUUGUAGAUCGCCACAGGCCUCUUCCGAAACUGGUCCAAUCAGCCGGUCUGCUUCUUAACACCCCCUCCCUUAACCAGGAAGUCAAUGUGAGCCAACACAGCGGGGGAAACGCCCAUUGACAUUACCUUAUGAAUGACCAGGUUAGAGGCACCCGUCCCACCAGAGAUGUUGCUGGAACAUGGUGGCACAAGGAAAUACUCUAUGCCGAUUACCUCCCCCGGGCGAUGCCAGUCCAGUAUGCACCGCCCUGCCGGACCCCCCGCCCACAAACGUCAGUGGCGUGACCGGGGCUCGAACCCUGGACUACAGAAACUUGAAGGAGGCAAAUUAAAUUGUACUGUUACUUACUAAAACAAGGGACAUAAACUCAGGAAAAUGUGGAUUGAAUACAUAUGAACAUUGUUUUGGAAUAACAUUUUAUUGUUUUUAGUAAAUUUACCUUGAGUAACAUGA
Esox lucius (northern pike) is the source of this 610-nucleotide long non-coding RNA. RefSeq lists it as uncharacterized. The transcript is spliced from 2 exons. NCBI's taxonomy places the organism in Eukaryota, Metazoa, Chordata, Actinopteri, Esociformes, Esocidae. The record is from RefSeq and is a predicted model, not a curated record.